ACAAAUGCAUGGAUGGAUCAGCAGUAGGUAGCUUGUGGAUGCUUUCAGAGAGCCGGUGGAGGGUGCGAACCGGUACCUGCAGGUUAGUGAAUUACGGUCUUGAGCAGUGAAUGGGAACCUGCAGCCAAUUGGAACUGCACUAGUAGUAUUUGCCGACUAAACCCCGUUACAGGUUCUUGAGUGAAAAUAGUGAGCCGUAGAACUUAUCUAUAGUUGUACGUAACUGCUGUUUUAAUUAGGGUGGUACCGCGAGUCAAGUCUUCUCGUCCCUUGU
This 274-nucleotide non-coding RNA is filed under the name Paenibacillus ferrarius. RNAcentral describes it as "T-box sequence". It matches the Rfam family "T-box leader". From Rfam's summary of the family: Uncharged tRNA acts as the effector for transcription antitermination of genes in the T-box leader family. The record is from RNAcentral. Lineage: Bacteria; Bacillati; Bacillota; Bacilli; Caryophanales; Paenibacillaceae.